UCCCUGUAGGAUGAGUUUAAUAUAUAAGAGAAUAUGCUCAUGGAUUAGGACAAGUUUGAGCUUCUUCAUUGAUCUUCUCUCUUUCCCAUUGAGAGGAAUAUGGAUUACCGUCGCCCACUCCUGUAGAAGAUCAUUCUCGUUUGUAGGAUCUCCGACGACAAAUAAAGGAAAGGAAAAGAUUUAGCAAGGAAGGCGACAAGGUGGUGCGAAUGGUGUGUGAUGCGUGGACUGUGGGAGAGAACUGGGAAGUUUUGCAUUUUCGUGUUUAGUGGAUAAGAAGUAAUUGAGUUGUACUCUAUGGUUGAAGUCAUUGAGACUGUAUUUUAUAUAUUCUAUGUUCCUAUUGAGUUUAUUCGUGUUUUAGUUUGUAUGCUGUGAUGAGUUUCUAUGUAAUAGGUAGAUAUUAUAGUUUUUGUCACUUAUUAAA
Molecule: long non-coding RNA, 427 nt
Organism: Zingiber officinale
Lineage: Eukaryota; Viridiplantae; Streptophyta; Magnoliopsida; Zingiberales; Zingiberaceae
Exons: 2
Source: RefSeq, a predicted model, not a curated record